Long non-coding RNA from Betta splendens (Siamese fighting fish), 1528 nucleotides. RefSeq lists it as uncharacterized. The record is from RefSeq and is a predicted model, not a curated record. Lineage: Eukaryota; Metazoa; Chordata; Actinopteri; Anabantiformes; Osphronemidae. The transcript has 5 exons.
ACCUUGUGGAGCCUGAGCUGUCGUUGGGCUGAGGAGACCUCUGAGGUCUCAUCUCAGAUGCAUUUGUCCAGUUGCCCCAGAAAUUAAUAAACCAGGUCAUUUGAUUCUUUUUGAUUUCAGCUCUGAUUGUGUGUGAAGGAGAACAAAUUAUAGCACAAACCUGUGGACCUGAAUAAUUGGAGCGUCUACACUUCAUCCGGACAGCGACCGUUCUCACAAAGCAGCAGUGAAGGGUUCCACCGCGUCCUGCGGCUCCGGUCUGCGUCCUGUUCUGCUGGUUCCGCACUCCACCACCAGGUGUCCUCGGACCUUCUCUGAGGUCCUGAUCACUUGAUUCUGUCCCCACCUGCACACACCUGGCUGCUUUCACCUGUUGAUGGGUUAAUUGGACUCUGCUGGUCUGCCGAUUCCUUUGAACCUGUUGUUUUUUUUUUUGGACCAGUUUUAAUGAUGUUUUGAAGUCGUGACUCCUCCUUGUGGACUUCGCCUCCCGUUCUUCCUGAUUAUUUCUCGUCUGCCUGUGAGUAGCUGGUGGAGACGCGUCCUCGUGUGCGGAGCUCUGGAACCUGGAGCAGCUGAGGUGGAUGCGCUGCAGGACUGAAGCACAAACUCAGGGACACCCGGAUCAGUGCAGCCUCACGGCCCGUCGCGCUGAUAAGUGGGAGAACAGCAGGACUCCAGGAAUUCCUCUCUGCAUUAAUGGCCUCACGCUCCCACGUUGGACGUUUCCUUUAUGGUUUCUCUUUGGGAACGUUGAUCCCGUCCUGGCGCUGAAACAGAACCAGACUGGUCACAGACGGACUCCACGCCGUCUGCAUGAUUCAUGAAGUGUUUCAUUCCAGACUAAGAUUAAGGUGAAAUUUAGAUCUGUCACAAACCUGAACAGGAUAAAGGUCAACAGGUCUCUAAGACCUUUCUGCUGUUUCAGCUGAUCGUUGCAACCAACGUAUUCCAUUGGUGGAGAAGGCUGGGAUUCUUCAGGAGCUUCCAGGAGGUCUGGCUUUGCUCACGCUCACUAAGAACUGGAGGCGCUCGUCAUGAAGCAGCAGGAAUUAAAAGUGUUUGAGUUGGAAGAACAACCCUUAAUGUGGAUAUUAAUUUCUUGCCUGAAUCUCUGUUUAUUUCAUGUGUUACAUGGGUACAUGACAAAGAAACAUAGAGGUUUGAAAGAAAUUACUUAGGAUCAAAGUUAUCUACUUUAAUCUUUAAAAGCACAUCUUGUUUUGAGUUCUGUCGUAAAGAUCAGGGUAAUGAUGAUGAGAUCAGAACGUGCGCAGAAAUCGCUCCAUUUAAAAAAGUCCAUUUAUCUGCAUGAAUUAUGGUGAAGGGCCGUUCUGUAACAUGGAGGCAGAGCCGACUAGAGCUGCUUCAGUCCUGUAGAGUUGUGUGGCCAGGAGGAACCAGCAAAUGAAACGACAACAUUAAAACUCAUUUUCUUCUCAGUUUCCUUCAGUUUGUUCCAACCACAGAAAAACAAACGAGCCGUUUACAGCCUCCAAAUAGCUUUAUUGUUCUUGCGACUGUCCCU